RNAcentral lists this ribosomal RNA (492 nucleotides) under uncultured bacterium. Its description in RNAcentral is "partial 16S ribosomal RNA". It matches the Rfam family "Bacterial small subunit ribosomal RNA", at positions 29 to 507 of the family's 1533-position model. The record is from RNAcentral.
AGUGAACGCUGGCGGUAGGCCUAACACAUGCAAGUCGAACGGCAGCACAGUAAGAGCUUGCUCUUACGGGUGGCGAGUGGCGGACGGGUGAGGAAUACAUCGGAAUCUACUUUUUCGCGGGGGAUAACGUAGGGAAACUUACGCUAAUACCGCAUACGACCUACGGGUGAAAGCAGGGGAUCUUCGGACCUUGCGCGAUUGAAUGAGCCGAUGUCGGAUUAGCUAGUUGGCGGGGUAAAGGCCGACCAAGGCGACGAUCCGUAGCUGGUCUGAGAGGAUGGUCAACCAAACUCGAACAGACACACGAUCCAGACUCCUACGAGAGGCAGCAGUAGGGAAUAUUAGACAAUGCGCGCAAGCCUGAUCCAGCCAUAUCGCGUCAGUCAAGACGGCCUUGGCAUUGUAAAGCCUUUAUGUUGAAGAAGAAAAGCAGCUGGUUAACUCACCGCUGUUCUGACGAUACCCCAAGAAUCAACCACGGGUAAGUUCGUA